RNAcentral lists this long non-coding RNA (1072 nucleotides) under Canis lupus familiaris (dog). RNAcentral describes it as "lncRNA (ENSCAFG00000050118.1)". The record is from RNAcentral. Lineage: Eukaryota; Metazoa; Chordata; Mammalia; Carnivora; Canidae.
GUUGGGAGAGGAGCCUCCGCUGCUGGGAGAGGGCAUCAUCAGGACGUCCCGGCGGUAGAUGGCAUCAGUGAAAGAGAAGACGUGGAAACCCGGAGUCGCCGUUCUCCGCGGCCCCGGCUCCGCCCAGGUCCUGCUGGCCAAGCGCCCGGCCAAGCUGGCGCGGUCACCGCGGGGACAGUUAAAGAGUUGUUAAAAGAUUUUAUUUAUUUAUUUAUUCACGAGAGACACAGAGCGGCAGAGACACAGGCAGAGGGAGAAGCAGGCUCCACCCAGGGAGCCCGACGUGGGACUCAAUCCCAGGUCUCCAGGAUCAGGCCCUGGGCUGAAGGCGGCGCUAAACCGCUGAGCCCCCCGGGCUGCCCCAUGCUUUUAUUUUUAAAAGAUUUAUUUAGGAGAGAGAGAAGGUGAGAGUGCCGGGGUGGGGGGUGGGGGGUGGGGGGCGGAGGGGCAGAGGGCCGGCUGCAUCAGAACGGAGCCCUGCCAGGGGCUCCAUCCCACAACCCUGAGGCCUGAGGUUGUGACCUGAGCCUGAACCAAGAGUCGGAUGUUUAACCCCCUGCAGCACCCAGAUCCCCAGGGCCGGGGGGCUCAGGGGUUGGGCGUCUGCCUUCAGCUUGGGUCAUGGUCCCAAAGCCCCAGGAUGGAACCCUGUGUGGGGCCCCCUGCGCAGCCAGGGGUCUGCUUCGCCCUCUACCCCUCGCCCCUCUGCUGCGCACGCUCUCUCCCCCCCACCAAAUAAAUCAUAAAAUCUAAAAAAGAAAAUGUUUCUUCUAGAAUUUUUAAGAGACAGGAAGACCUUUCUUUCUCUCGACCAACAACCCACGGAGAGUGUGGAGAGUGGUAAUCAGAAGGCCCGGUGGCCGCUGGCGCCUGUUUAGCACUUCCUGGGACCUUGACCAGUCUCUUGGGAAGAAUCGGGGCCCAGCACAAUGCUUUCCUGCCCCCCGCUCUGUAGAAACGCCGGUGACCCGCGUCUCUUCCCGGCUCUUCCUGGGGCCCCGUGGCCUCGGGGCAGCGUGUGUCCCGCCACCAUGGCCCUAUUUACUUCCCCGCCCUGACCCGGCUGACCCGG